AAUUAUUGUUUUCCUUUAGUAGCUUGCCGCAUAAUUCAUUCAAGCAUAUUUAGAGUGGAGCGGGAAUAUUCAAACAAGGAAAUGUACACCAUAUCUGUUAGUAUACAUGUGACACUUUCAUGUCUUUCGACUAAUGAUGCCUCCUACCAGGUAUCACUAAUAGCACAUUCAUCACAACAUUUGUAUAGCUCAUUCUGGUGUAAGUCUGUCCAAUUUAGAAAGGAUUUUAAAGCGGAUUCAUACAGGUUAUAGAAGUUAGAGUCAAAUAAUAUAAUAAGUGAUUUGUAUAGAAGUCAGGCACAGCCAUCCCUACCAUGGCAUCGGCGUGGCCUUCCCUGCCAGGCGCGGCGGCUCCUUGGUCCGAUCGCGGUGCUGAUGCAGAUGGAUCGACGAGGGUUAGCAGGCUCGCCGGCUGGUGUUUCCUCGGACGCAUCGCUGUUCCAAUCGUGAUGGCAUGACCAUAUGAGUCUACAAGACUUUGAGGCAGCUCAUUUGCGUGGAUGUUUGUGGCUGGGCACACAAUCCAUUAAUCCUUCAUAUUUUCGCACAGAAGAACGGAUGGUCCACUGUAGAAGAAGCACAAGCAUCAUGUGGCAUUGUAGUCAUUGGUGAAGAUUGAUAUGCACUCAAAUGCAAGACUUAUGAUGGUGUUUGGUGACCGAUAAAGAUGAUUGGAAAGCCUCUUUCCAAGCAUAAGCUUAGUUGUCCAUCUAGGGGUAUUGGUGGUCAUGCCGGAAGCCCGGAACAUAUGCUGAAUGAGGCAUCCAUGGUCAAGCUUCAAUAGACUUGCUAAAGUUAAAGAAGCUCAUGAUGAACUUUUGCAGACAAUGUUUCUGAUGUUCAAGAGAGAACUUUGUAAAUGAGGACAAUGUCGCGAGCUGCAAAUCUGUAAAUGAUGUUGAAGAGAGCUGUAAAUGUCUCUGCAACAACGGACCUGCAGCCUGUAGGUAAUUGGUCUUGUGUCUUCCAGCUGCAAUAAAACAAGUCUAAGCGAUCAAGGUCCUACUGUUCAAUUAAGCUGGCCGUUUGCUUGCUUUUGUGCCUACAACAUGCUCGCUGAAUUGUUUUGUCGUAGUAUGAAAGCUUGUAAGCGCCAGAUUG
This is a long non-coding RNA of Triticum aestivum (bread wheat), 1101 nucleotides long. RefSeq lists it as uncharacterized. The record is from RefSeq and is a predicted model, not a curated record. Lineage: Eukaryota; Viridiplantae; Streptophyta; Magnoliopsida; Poales; Poaceae. The transcript has 3 exons.